AGAACGAACGCUGGCGGCAUGCCUAAUACAUGCAAGUCGAACGAACUCUUCGGAGUUAGUGGCGCACGGGUGCGUAACGCGUGGGAAUCUGCCCCUUGGUUCGGAAUAACAGUUGGAAACGACUGCUAAUACCGGAUGAUGACGAAAGUCCAAAGAUUUAUCGCCAAGGGAUGAGCCCGCGUAGGAUUAGCUAGUUGGUGAGGUAAAGGCUCACCAAGGCAACGAUCCUUAGCUGGUCUGAGAGGAUGAUCAGCCACACUGGGACUGAGACACGGCCCAGACUCCUACGGGAGGCAGCAGUAGGGAAUAUUGGACAAUGGGCAAAGCCUGAUCCAGCAAUGCCGCGUGAGUGAUGAAGGCCUUAGGUUGUAAAGCUCUUUUACCGAGAUGAUAAUGACAGUAUCGGAGAAUAAGCCCCGGCUAACUCCGUGCCAGCAGCCG
Molecule: ribosomal RNA, 441 nt
Filed under: uncultured soil bacterium
Lineage: Bacteria
Description: bacterial SSU rRNA
Rfam family: Bacterial small subunit ribosomal RNA
Source: RNAcentral